RNAcentral lists this transfer RNA (74 nucleotides) under Candidatus Aenigmatarchaeota archaeon. Its description in RNAcentral is "tRNA-Ala". It matches the Rfam family "tRNA". Rfam says of the family: Transfer RNA (tRNA) molecules are approximately 80 nucleotides in length. Their secondary structure includes four short double-helical elements and three loops (D, anti-codon, and T loops). The record is from RNAcentral. Lineage: Archaea; Nanobdellati; Candidatus Aenigmatarchaeota.
GGGCACGUAGUCGAGCUCGGAAAGACGCCGCCUUCGCAAGGCGGAAACCAGGGGUUCAAAUCCCCUCGUGUCCA